This 460-nucleotide ribosomal RNA is filed under the name uncultured bacterium. RNAcentral describes it as "partial 16S ribosomal RNA". It matches the Rfam family "Bacterial small subunit ribosomal RNA", at positions 338 to 795 of the family's 1533-position model. The record is from RNAcentral.
CCUCCUUGUGGCAGCAGUGAGGAAUAUUGGUCAAUGGCCGUAAGGCUGAACCAGCCAAGUAGCGUGAGGGAAGAAUGCCCUAUGGGUUGUAAACCUCUUUUAUGCGGGGAUAAAGGAGUCCACGUGUGGAUGUUUGCAGGUACCGCAUGAAUAAGGACCCGCUAAUUCCGUGCCAGCAGCCGCGGUAAUACGGAAGGUCCGGGCGUUAUCCGGAUUUAUUGGGUUUAAAGGGAGCGUAGGCGGGUUUUUAAGCGUGCCGUGAAAUUUUGUGGCUCAACCAUGAGAGUGCGGCGCGAACUGGAGUCCUUGAGUGCGCGGAAGGCAGGCGGAAUUCGUGGUGUAGCGGUGAAAUGCUUAGAUAUCACGAAGAACCCCGAUUGUGAAGGCAGCCUGCCGCAGCGUUACUGACGCUGAGGCUCGAAAGCGUGGGUAGCGAACAGGAUUAGAUACCCUUGUAGUC